Molecule: ribosomal RNA, 424 nt
Filed under: uncultured bacterium
Lineage: Bacteria
Description: partial 16S ribosomal RNA
Rfam family: Bacterial small subunit ribosomal RNA
Source: RNAcentral
AAUAAUGGACAAUGGGCGAAAGCCUGACCUAGCCAGGCCGCGGGUGGGAAGAAGGUCUUCGGAUUGUAAAGCACUUUAAGUUGGGAGGAAGGGUUGUAGGUCAAUACCCUGCAAUUCUGACGUUACCAACAGAAUAAGCACCGGACAACGUCGUGCCAGCAGCCGCGCUCAUACGAAGGGUGCAAGCGUUAAUCGGAAUUACUGGGCGUAAAGCGCGCGUAGGUGGUUCGUUAAGUUGGAAGUGGAAGCCCCGGGCUUAACCUGGGAAUUGCUUUCAAAACUGACGAGCUAGAGUACGGUAGAGGGUAGUGGAAUUUCCUGUGUAGCGGUGAAAUGCGUAGAUAUAGGAAGGAACAUCAGUGGCGAAGGCGACUACCUGGACUGAUACUGACACUGAGGUGCGAAAGCGUGGGGAGCAAACAGG